Molecule: ribosomal RNA, 394 nt
Filed under: Artomyces pyxidatus
Lineage: Eukaryota; Fungi; Basidiomycota; Agaricomycetes; Russulales; Auriscalpiaceae
Description: LSU rRNA
Rfam family: Bacterial large subunit ribosomal RNA
Source: RNAcentral
CAAAUUAUCCUCAUAAGUUUGACGAUAAGAGGACCCAUUAAUAUAUAAUUUAGCCAUAAUUUAUAUUAAUUAUAUGGUAUAAUAAAAUCGGAGGCCCCGACUGUUUACUAAAACACAAUUCAGAGCAAUGAUUAAUAUCAUAGUAUUCUGAAUGAAAUUUGCCCAAUGCCAUUAAUAUAAGAGAGGUAAUAGGUAACUGUUACUAAUCGAAAGUCUGGUUAAUAGCGGUCUUAACUAUGAGGAUCCAAAGGUAGCAAAAUAAAUUGGCCAUUAAAUGUGGUCUGGUAUCAAUAAUGUAACGAUGGUCUCACUGUCUCUACAACUUGCUCAGUGAAAUUGAAUUACCCGUGCAGAUGCGGGUUACCUUCAGGGGACGGGAAGACCCUAUGCAGCU